This 549-nucleotide ribosomal RNA is filed under the name uncultured Bacteroidota bacterium. RNAcentral's name for it is "bacterial SSU rRNA". It matches the Rfam family "Bacterial small subunit ribosomal RNA", at positions 8 to 556 of the family's 1533-position model. Lineage: Bacteria; Pseudomonadati; Bacteroidota. The record is from RNAcentral.
AGGGUUUGAUUAUGGCUCAGGAUGAACGCUAGCGGGAGGCCUAACACAUGCAAGUCGAACGGGAUCCCCGAGCAAUCGGGGUGAGAGUGGCGCACGGGUGAGUAACGCGUAUGCAACCUACCUUUAACUGAGGGAUAGCCCAUAGAAAUGUGGAUUAAUACCUCAUAGUUCUAUUAGAUCGCAUGAUUUGAUAGAUAAAGCUCCGGCGGUUAAAGAUGGGCAUGCGUGACAUUAGUUUGUUGGUGGGGUAACGGCUCACCAAGACUACGAUGUCUAGGGGUUCUGAGAGGAUGAUCCCCCACACUGGUACUGAGACACGGACCAGACUCCUACGGGAGGCAGCAGUGAGGAAUAUUGGUCAAUGGGCGCAAGCCUGAACCAGCCAUCCCGCGUGAAGGAUGAAGGCCCUAUGGGUCGUAAACUUCUUUUAUACACCAAGAAAAAGCAGGACGUGUCCUGCCCCGACGGUAGUGUAUGAAUAAGCAUCGGCUAACUCCGUGCCAGCAGCCGCGGUAAUACGGAGGAUGCGAGCGUUAUCCGGAUUCAUUG